Molecule: unclassified non-coding RNA, 312 nt
Filed under: Hevea brasiliensis (rubber tree)
Lineage: Eukaryota; Viridiplantae; Streptophyta; Magnoliopsida; Malpighiales; Euphorbiaceae
Source: RNAcentral
GUCAUAUCCAGUGGUUCUUUUGAUCAAUAAAAUGAUGCGUGUCUGGUUGGAAGGGCAUUUGGUGUCUUGGAUUUAAGAUCUUAGGUAGAAAUGCAAAGUGUGAUUAAUGUGUUGUCAAUUGUGUCAAUAAUUUUGUGUAUGACAGUCUUGGAAUUGUAAGAAAGUAUGGUUACUCUCUCCUUCUAUUAUUAUUCUCGGAGAAAGAGGUUUGAGAUUCUGGACUCUCACUUGAAAUUCUUUAAAUGGUACCAAUUGAGCCAACCAUUAUUUGCUGAAAAAUGUAAGUCCAGGUUGUGUGAAGUUAUGUUAGAG